This is a long non-coding RNA of Cercocebus atys (sooty mangabey), 852 nucleotides long. RefSeq lists it as uncharacterized. Lineage: Eukaryota; Metazoa; Chordata; Mammalia; Primates; Cercopithecidae. The transcript has 3 exons. The record is from RefSeq and is a predicted model, not a curated record.
UAAAAAGAAAGAAACCCUGAUUCUAUGACUGAUGCAAGACAUGUGAGUUCCUCACCUGCUGUCAGCAUCCAGGCUGUAUCCACCAUGUCUCUUUCACACCUCGGAAGAACGUUUGUCCAGGAAGCACUUCCUCAGAUCCAUCAGAGCAAGGAUCUUUGUUUUGCAUACUGUUACAUCCUCAGCACCCAGAACAGAGCUUGGCACAAAGCAGAUGCUCAAUACAUAUUUGCUGAAUGCCUGAGUGAAUGAAUGAAUGAAACAAAUCCCAGUUCCCAGUAACCAGAGAUGUCGCUAUGGUGCUGAAGAACAGAGGAAAAGUCAGCAGCAAGAAACUCUGGGAAGAAAAAUGAACUGGAUGGUAUAGGCCAAUGGGGGUGAGAUUUCUGAGCCAGUGUUCCAGGAGGUCAGAACCGUUUCUCUCCGCAGGGUUUCCCUCACCUUUGAUGGGGCUUGUUGCCAGUGGUGGGGGGAGAUUGAAGCUACUUGUGGCACCCAGGUUAAAUCACCAUCCCCAUGGAGUUCGAUAAGUACCUCUGCGGGAAGACUGACCAGGAGGAGACAGACCAUCUCCUGGGCUGGAUUUGCAGCUGAAACCAGUAACCAGCAGACCUCUGUCAUUGCACUUAUUCCAGCACUUAUGUGUGCAGAGGAAUGAGGAACUGUGAUCCCAGGAGAGAAGGCAGAGGACCUCAAGAAUCACGCGCAAUACCUUGGGGCUUUCCAGGUGUGUCCGGAUUGAAAGAUGAACCCCAUGCUGCCUGGUGACUUGUUUGUGGCACCUAUACAACAUCCUUCGUGUGCCACAGCGAAGUCACAUGCAGUAGCACUUCAUUAUUUUAAUUAAGCUUAUUG